UGUUCACUUUAUAAAAGUUGUAAACUUUCUAUUAAUACUGUAUGUUUAUUUCCCCAAACUUGUACCCAUAAUUUGACUCUAAAAUUAUCAUUUAAGAACUGAUUUUUCUUUUUUGCACACUGGAGUACACAUCCAGGGCUUCUACCAUCUUUAAGUGUUUUGUGGUCUGUAUUUUCAGCUUUUUAAUUUUGGUCAUGGUGUUUACUGUCUUUUUUUUUAACUUACUAAUUUUGUUUGCCCCCUUGCUUUUUCCUUGCAUGUUCUUUUUCAUAUUGCUAAUUACUAUUUCCUGAAUUUACCUGUUCAGAUGCUUAUGGAAAUUUACCAAACUUUUUCAUACCAAAAGUUAUACAAAAACUUAAGGAUGUACUAAGGUGAGGUUUGGGAAUUUGUGUCAAAUGUUCAGACUCCUUGGGUUCUUCCAUACAAUGCCAGGUAAAAUAUUUUGCCCCAUAACACCCAUUUUUCAAUAUAUCUUAAUAGCUCAUGAAAGGUCAUUUACCAAAAUUUUAGAAGAUUCUUAAUUUUAUUUAUUUUGUUUUGAGACCCCAAUAAUACCAAUGCAAAUAUAAGGUAAAAGUCUGAGUCAGUCUUUUCCCGCCAUAUUUUGAAUCUCAAAUAUCUCGAAAAGGAGGUUCAUGACCUAUAUUUUUUUUUAGCUUAUUUGUAUCCUUAACGAAUGCUCUACCAGCUUAUAGUAUCAAUUUCAAAUUCUUAAUUCAUUAAUUUUUACCUAACCUCACCUAAGUACAUCCUUAAGUUAGUAAAUUUUAGUAUUAUAUUGUAGAAAUGUACUAAGACUCAAGUCAUAAUUCAUUGAGGGAACAGUCCAUAUUGUUUAAAUUUAGUUGUCGUAGUAGAUAUUCACCAUACUGUAAAUUUUUAAAGAAAACCUACAGUGAAAAACAUCCAAUCUUCAUAUGGCAACAUGUUCAAGAUUUAUAGUUUGUGUUGGAGAUAUAUUUCUUUACUAUGAAAGAUUUAAAUAAAAAUUUACAACAAAACAUAUGUGAAAUUAUCAGAUCUCCUUAAACAAAACAGCUUAGAUAAUUCAAAUGAUUCAAAAUUUUAAUUCAAAAACUAACUUGCUUUACAAAAUAUAAUUAAUUCACUUGUAACUGAAAGAUGUCAUAUUAAUCAGGGGCGGAUCCAGCCAUUUUAAAAAGGGGGUUCCCAACCCAGGACAAAGGGGCGUUCCAAAAACAUGUCCCAAUUUAAAUGCAUUGAUCGUCCAAAAAAAGUGAGGUUUCAACCCCCAGAACACCCCCCCUGGAUCCGCCACUGUUAAUUUUCAUAAUCCUUGUAAAACUUUCUUAUACGAAUUAAUUGUAGUGCCAUGUAGCGGUUGUAUUAGGCAUGUUUUCAAGGUGUAUUGACAAAAAGAUAUAUUUUUAAAGAGAAACAAUUAUUUUUUAAUUUCAUUUUGUCUGCAUGUUAGUGAAUAUGUUUAUGAUUUUAUGUGUAUUAAUAUGUUAUUUGAGUUUCAAUCAAUGCAAUUUAUUAUAUUAUCAAUGCAACAGUAGGGUAUUUUAUCAUUAUCAUCACAACAGUGGUUUAGUUCAAUAUUCAAGCAAUCUGUAGUAUUGUUUUGUCUUAUAAUCCAAAUUAGGUCUUGAUGGGGAUUUCAAAAUAGAGAAUAAUGGGCUGAAAAUAUAUAGAUUAUUGAAAAGUGGGUAUAAAAUAUAAAAAACAAAGAAGAAAUCGCAAAAAAAUGAAAAGGGGAAAAAAAUACCAUGAAAAAUUAAAGAAUAGAGAAAGUUGACAUAACAAAAUGUCAAAUUGGAGAAUACAGCCUCCUCAUAUUUAGACUUUGACAUCAUGAGUAUUGAACCCUCCUACAGCCCCUCAUGUUUAGACUUUGACAUCAUGAGUAUUGAACCCUCCUACAACCCUCAUAUUUAGACUUUGACAUCAUGAGUAUUGAACCCCCUCCUACAGCCCCUCAUAUUUAGACUUUGACAUCAUGAGUAUUGAACCCUCCUACAGCCCCUCAUAUUUAGACUUUGACAUCAUGAGUAUUGAACCCUCCUACAGCCCCUCAUAUUUAGACUUUGACAUCAUGAGUAUUGAACCCUCCUACGCCCUAUAUUUAGACUUUGACAUCAUUAGUAUUGACCCUCCUACAGCCCCUCAUAUUUAGACUUUGACAUCAUGAGUAUUGAACCCUCCUACAGCCCCUCAUAUUUAGACUUUGACAUCAUGAGUAUUGACAUCUGUUGUGAUGAGUCAGUGUAUACCAAUGCAAUGGAUUUCAGCUGCCAUUAUUAUAACUGAUUUGUUUGAGUGUGUUCUACAAUAAUAAAACAUAAGCUUUGUGUAGAAUGUAAUUAUUUAUCACCUUUUGUUUUAAAAAUAGGUAACAAACUAGUCAACUGGUAUCAACCACCCCGUGUGUUACCUGUCCUUCAAUUUGAUUGGCUAAUGAAAUAAAAUCAUCAUAGAUACUAGGAUUGAAAUUUUAUAUUAUCAUUACUCUUUCAACAAAGGGGAAAAAGAUUUUACGGUCUACUGAGCAAACUUAACGUUAUUGUUCUAUGUACACACUCAAAUAUAUCGACUAUAAAUUUUUGUUGUAUAUAAAUAUUUUAUCAUGUUUUUUUGUCAUUUCAGAAAUCAGCAUUGUACUAACUUCUAUCAAAACAAAUUGUUUAACAAAUUUAAGGAGGUAGACCUUAGUUAAG
RNAcentral lists this long non-coding RNA (2681 nucleotides) under Mytilus galloprovincialis (Mediterranean mussel). Lineage: Eukaryota; Metazoa; Mollusca; Bivalvia; Mytilida; Mytilidae. The record is from RNAcentral.